CCUACGGGGGGCAGCAGUGAGGAAUAUUGGUCAAUGGGCGCGAGCCUGAACCAGCCAAGUAGCGUGAAGGAUGACUGCCCUACGGGUUGUAAACUUCUUUUAUAAAGGAAUAAAGUGAGGCACGUGUGCCUCUUUGUAUGUACUUUAUGAAUAAGGAUCGGCUAACUCCGUGCCAGCAGCCGCGGUAAUACGGAGGAUCCGAGCGUUAUCCGGAUUUAUUGGGUUUAAAGGGAGCGUAGAUGGGUUGUUAAGUCAGGUGUGAAAGUUUGCGGCUCAACCGUAAAAUGGCAAUUGAUACUGGCAUCCUUGAGUACAGUUGAGGUAGGCGGAAUUCGUGGUGUAGCGGUGAAAUGCUUAGAUAUCACGAAGAACUCCGAUUGCGAAGGCAGCCUACUAGACUGCCACUGACGUUGAUGCUCGAAAGUGUGGGUAUCAAACAGGAUUAGAUACCCUGGUAGUC
RNAcentral lists this ribosomal RNA (460 nucleotides) under uncultured bacterium. RNAcentral describes it as "partial 16S ribosomal RNA". It matches the Rfam family "Bacterial small subunit ribosomal RNA", at positions 338 to 795 of the family's 1533-position model. The record is from RNAcentral.